Molecule: ribosomal RNA, 794 nt
Filed under: uncultured bacterium
Lineage: Bacteria
Description: bacterial SSU rRNA
Rfam family: Bacterial small subunit ribosomal RNA
Source: RNAcentral
AGAGUUUGAUCAUGGCUCAGAUUGAACGCUGGCGGAAUGCUUUACACAUGCAAGUCGAACGGCAGCACGGGGGCAACCCUGGUGGCGAGUGGCGAACGGGUGAGUAAUACAUCGGAACGUGCCCAGUCGUGGGGGGAUAACGUAGCGAAAGCUACGCUAAUACCGCAUACGAACUGAGGUUGAAAGCGGGGGAUCGCAAGACCUCGCGCGAUUGGAGCGGCCGAUGGCAGAUUAGGUAGUUGGUGGGGUAAAGGCCUACCAAGCCGACGAUCUGUAGCUGGUCUGAGAGGACGACCAGCUACACUGGGACUGAGACACGGCCCAGACUCCUACGGGAGGCAGCAGUGGGGAAUUUUGGACAAUGGGCGCAAGCCUGAUCCAGCCAUUCCGCGUGCAGGAUGAAGGCCCUCGGGUUGUAAACUGCUUUUGUACGGAACGAAAAGGCUCUCUCUAAUACAGGGGGCUGAUGACGGUACCGUAAGAAUAAGCACCGGCUAACUACGUGCCAGCAGCCGCGGUAAUACGUAGGGUGCGAGCGUUAAUCGGAAUUACUGGGCGUAAAGCGUGCGCAGGCGGUUGUGUAAGACAGAUGUGAAAUCCCCGGGCUUAACCUGGGAACUGCAUUUGUGACUGCACAGCUGGAGUGCGGCAGAGGGGGAUGGAAUUCCGCGUGUAGCAGUGAAAUGCGUAGAUAUGCGGAGGAACACCGAUGGCGAAGGCAAUCCCCUGGGCCUGCACUGACGCUCAUGCACGAAAGCGUGGGGAGCAAACAGGAUUAGAUACCCUAGUAGUCC